CACAAAAUAGUAAGUUGACGGCCGUUGCGUUUCUUUCAAUUUUCUUGAUGUCCUUGGCAUCAUAUUCAUUUUCCUCCUUUAGAACCAUGAUUUCCCUAACUUUGUUUGUUGGCAUUUGUUCACCUUUCUUGAUGAUUUGCCACAAUCGAAAGCUGUGUGAUUGGAUGAAUAUUCUCAUCCACUCUUUCCAGUAUGUAUAAUUUCUUCCAUCAAAGAAUGGAGGCCUCUCGGUGGAAUGUCCUUCGCUCAUUA
Molecule: long non-coding RNA, 252 nt
Filed under: Nicotiana benthamiana
Lineage: Eukaryota; Viridiplantae; Streptophyta; Magnoliopsida; Solanales; Solanaceae
Description: long non-coding RNA (NBEN_LNC037524)
Source: RNAcentral